GCGUAAGGGCUCGCAGGCGGUUUCUUAAGUCUGAUGUGAAAGCCCCCGGCUCAACCGGGGAGGGUCAUUGGAAACUGGGAAACUUGAGUGCAGAAGAGGAGAGUGGAAUUCCACGUGUAGCGGUGAAAUGCGUAGAGAUGUGGAGGAACACCAGUGGCGAAGGCGACUCUCUGGUCUGUAACUGACGCUGAGGAGCGAAAGCGUGGGGAGCGAACAGGAUUAGAUACCCUGGUAGUCCACGCCGUAAACGAUGAGUGCUAAGUGUUAGGGGGUUUCCGCCCCUUAGUGCUGCAGCUAACGCAUUAAGCACUCCGCCUGGGGAGUACGGUCGCAAGACUGAAACUCAAAGGAAUUGACGGGGGCCCGCACAAGCGGUGGAGCAUGUGGUUUAAUUCGAAGCAACGCGAAGAACCUUACCAGGUCUUGACAUCCUCUGACAACCCUAGAGAUAGGGCUUUCCCUUCGGGGACAGAGUGACAGGUGGUGCAUGGUUGUCGUCAGCUCGUGUCGUGAGAUGUUGGGUUAAGUCCCGCAACGAGCGCAACCCUUGAUCUUAGUUGCCAGCAUUCAGUUGGGCACUCUAAGGUGACUGCCGGUGACAAACCGGAGGAAGGUGGGGAUGACGUCAAAUCAUCAUGCCCCUUAUGACCUGGGCUACACACGUGC
Molecule: ribosomal RNA, 666 nt
Filed under: Bacillus pumilus
Lineage: Bacteria; Bacillati; Bacillota; Bacilli; Caryophanales; Bacillaceae
Description: bacterial SSU rRNA
Rfam family: Bacterial small subunit ribosomal RNA
Source: RNAcentral